GUGGUUCCAAGAAAAGCCUCUAAGCUUCAGUCUAACGAUGACCGUACCGCAAACCGACACAGGUGGGCGAGAUGAGUAUUCUAAGGCGCUUGAGAGAACUCGGGAGAAGGAACUCGGCAAAUUGGUACCGUAACUUCGGGAUAAGGUACGCCCUUGUAGCUUGAUGCGCCUGCGCGCAGAGGGUGAAGGGGUUGCAAUAAACUGGUGGCUGCGACUGUUUAAUAAAAACACAGCACUCUGCAAACACGAAAGUGGACGUAUAGGGUGUGACGCCUGCCCGGUGCCGGAAGAUUAAAUGAUGGGGUGCAAGCUCUUGAUUGAAGUCCCGGUAAACGGCGGCCGUAACUAUAACGGUCCUAAGGUAGCGAAAUUCCUUGUCGGGUAAGUUCCGACCUGCACGAAUGGCGUAACGAUGGCCACACUGUCUCCUCCCGAGACUCAGCGAAGUUGAAGUGUUUGUGAUGAUGCAAUCUACCCGCGGCUAGACGGAAAGACCCCAUGAACCUUUACUGUAGCUUUGCAUUGGACUUUGAACCGAUCUGUGUAGGAUAGGUGGGAGGCUAUGAAACCGGAACGCUAGUUUCGGUGGAGCCGUCCUUGAAAUACCACCCUGGUUUGUUUGAGGUUCUAACCUUGGCCCGUGAUCCGGGUCGGGGACAGUGCAUGGUAGGCAGUUUGACUGGGGCGGUCUCCUCCCAAAGCGUAACGGAGGAGUACGAAGGUACGCUAGGUACGGUCGGAAAUCGUGCUGAUAGUGCAAUGGCAUAAGCGUGCUUAACUGCGAGACCGACAAGUCGAGCAGGUGCGAAAGCAGGUCAUAGUGAUCCGGUGGUUCUGUAUGGAAGGGCCAUCGCUCAACGGAUAAAAGGUACUCUGGGGAUAACAGGCUGAUACCGCCCAAGAGUUCAUAUCGACGGCGGUGUUUGGCACCUCGAUGUCGGCUCAUCUCAUCCUGGGGCUGUAGCCGGUCCCAAGGGUAUGGCUGUUCGCCAUUUAAAGAGGUACGUGAGCUGGGUUUAAAACGUCGUGAGACAGUUUGGUCCCUAUCUGCCGUGGGCGUUGGAUAUUUGAAGGGGGCUGCUCCUAGUACGAGAGGACCGGAGUGGACGAACCUCUGGUGUACCGGUUGUCACGCCAGUGGCAUCGCCGGGUAGCUAUGUUCGGAAGAGAUAACCGCUGAAAGCAUCUAAGCGGGAAACUCGCCUUAAGAUGAGAUAUCCCUGGGGACUAGAUCCCCUUGAAGGGUCGUUCGAGACCAGGACGUUGAUAGGUCAGGUGUGUAAGCGCAGUAAUGCGUUCAGCUAACUGAUACUAAUUGCCCGUAAGGCUUGAUCC
RNAcentral lists this ribosomal RNA (1335 nucleotides) under Burkholderia anthina. RNAcentral describes it as "23S ribosomal RNA (partial)". It matches the Rfam family "Bacterial large subunit ribosomal RNA", at positions 1602 to 2925 of the family's 2925-position model. The record is from RNAcentral. Lineage: Bacteria; Pseudomonadati; Pseudomonadota; Betaproteobacteria; Burkholderiales; Burkholderiaceae.